Molecule: RNA transcript, 1717 nt
Organism: Sardina pilchardus (European sardine)
Lineage: Eukaryota; Metazoa; Chordata; Actinopteri; Clupeiformes; Clupeidae
Gene: emp2
Gene name: epithelial membrane protein 2
Exons: 6
Source: RefSeq, a predicted model, not a curated record
CCACACUUUUGCUCAUUUCACUAUUACUACAGUGCUCCCUGCCCCUGGUCACGUUUCUAGGCUACUCACUACACAUCAUUCAGGCUCCACGUCUCACCAUUCUGACCAAAAAGAAGGCCACACUUUGAAUUCUUUCAUUCUUCUGAUCUAUUCCUCGCUGCUAGUCCUGAGUUCUCACCACCACCAUGUUGGUAAUACUGGCCUUCAUCAUCCUAUUCCACAUAGUCUCUGCCAUCCUCCUAUUCAUAGCAACAAUAAACAAUGCCUGGUGGGUUGUUGGAAACGAGAACGCCUUAUAUGCUGACCUCUGGUACAUCUGCAAUAAAACGUUUUGCGGACCCAUACCCAACAGCGCAUCCACCGAAGCAGGCUACCUCCAGGCUGUGCAGGCGACGAUGAUCCUGUCCACCAUCUUGUGCUGUGUGGGCUUCUUCGUGUUCAUCCUGCAGCUCUUCCGUCUGAAGCAGGGCGAACGCUUCGUCUUCACCGCCAUCAUCCAGCUGCUGUCUUCGCUGUGCGUGAUGAUUGGCGCCUCCAUCUACACGGCCCAGCGCACGUCCUUCCAGGGAAAGAGUCUGGAGAAUGGCAACUACGGCUACACCUUUGUCUUAGCCUGGAUCGCCUUCCCCAUGACUUUGAUCAGUGGUCUGAUGUAUCUAGUUUUGAGAAAGCGCAAAUAGACAGAACUCAUCACCUCACCAUUGCCAAGAAGCUACAUUGCCUUGAGCAAUUUUUUCUGAGCUUUACACCCGGGAAUGAAUUUGCAAACUUGAAACCAAAGAUGCUCCAUGCUUCAACCUGUUCAAGAACAAGCACUUACAAAAACCACUAUGCAGUUUAUUCAUUAGCUAUAGGUUCAUGGUCCAGUCAUAUUUCACCUGGACACAGCUCCACUCCAAAACAUGGCCAUCUGGCUGCAGUCUCCGCAGCAUCUUUGACCAUUAGAUGGGUGAAAAGCCAAAGAAGGAAAAACUAAAUAAGGUCAGGUUGUUUUUGGGCAGGGCACUAGACUAUACUUGAAACGGAGUAAAUUGUUGACGGUGGGGGGGGGGGGAAGCUGCAUAAUUGUGCCUGUUCUUGUGAAUUAGUCUUUUUCACUAGAGUUUUAUCCAUAGUUCUGAAUUGUAUUGCAUGUUUUGUUGUACUUCGCCUUAUUUUAGCUUAAAUGCAUCAGUAAAUCCAUUAUUGUUUUGUAGAUCAUGCGUUAUACAUUUAGAGACCAAUGCCUCCUGGGGCUUUAGGAUUAUUUGGAAUAUUGAGUGAUAGGAGGUGAGGAUUGUGUAUGAAUCCCAGACCAAAUCUCAUCAAGUCACCUCUCAUAACGAGCAAAGAGUAGCAAAUGUGAUAUAUAUAUAUAUAUAUAUAUAUAUAAAAAAAAUAAUACAUACAAAUUUGAGCAACUUUUGACAAAGACUGUAUUUAUUGUGUAGUAAAUGCAUUGUGUUGCUGUUAAUAUUUUUGCAAUGAAGUAUUUGACCCAAAAGCUUGAAACCAAUUUCCUUCUGGCAUAUGAUAUGAAGUAGUGUAGGUUAGGGUCUUCAAAUGUUUGUAAUUGGAUGCAAUCUCAGCCAAAGGCAGCUUCUUUUUCUCUGCUUAUAUCUUCUCACUUGCUCAACCUCUCGCCUCUUCCUGUAUUUCCAAAGAGACAGACCCCCAGCCAGGGCUCGAAAAGUUGUUUUUUUUUUGUGGUCAUAAUUAAAACGCAUUUUACAUUAAA